GUCAUAGUAUUUAGCUGUAUCACCAGCAUUUAGAUUUUGUGUCACAUUUCAUGGGAUGCCUCGAUUGUGUGCUCUCUCCAUUUUUAAGAUUUGGAGUGUUUCUUUCUUUCUUGUCCUACCCGUAAUGUCACUUUUAUCGUUAGCAAGUUUUUCUUCCUAAUCACUGUUUAUUUUACCAUCUUAUUAUUGACUGCUUUUUGGUUUCUUGUUACUUGAUUUUCCCAAAUAAGAAAAUCCUCUUUUUCUUGAUGCUUUGGCUUGUUGCGUGUUAUUUGAUCAUUAUGGAAUAGGUGACUAGCCAUACAGUUCUUUGCACUUAAUAAAUUUCCCUUCUCAUCAGUUCACUGGUUCAACAUUUACUAAAAUAUGAUAGUUGGGACUUCUGGGUAGGCUUAGCAUCAUAUGUUUUCCGUUGACACUUUAAGAACUCAAGAAUCAGAUUGGACUGCUUUUAAACUUCUAGUAUUUUCAUAUUUGACUAAUUGACUGGUUAAACUGGUUUCUCUUCACAACUAAUCAAGUAUGCCUUCUUUGUAGUUUCCGUGUGUGAGAGAAGUUGGGACAAAAUUAGGUAGUGCAGUGUCGUCAUGUUCAAAGGAUCUAAAGGGUGUUUUGUAGUUGUUGUUGGGAUCUUUUUGCUGCUUGUUAGCUGGUCGGGGUUGUCAGUAACUUAGCUGGUUAAACUAAACUGACGCCUAUAUAUUUUUUCUCAUAAUUAAUAAAGCCAGAGAUUCAUUUGUUCUAUUGGCUGUGGGAUGUAAUGGACUAAAUCAAAAUGGCUCUUAAAACCUCUUUGCUUCCUUUCCAUGAAGUAGAAGAUGGUCAUCCCGUUGUCGUCUUGUUAUCGCUUUUGGGUCAAUUGGAAACAACCUCUUUGCAAUUGCAAGGGUAAGGUUGCGUACACCCGACCCCCCCUUACCCCGCUUCUUGCGGAAGCCUCUUUGAGGCAAUGGGGUAAUGAUAAUGAUGAUAAUGAUGAAUUAAUGGAUUUAGUCAAUUGGCUUUGGACAGAAUUUGUUGUAAUUGGGAACUAAAGAUUGUAGGCAGUUUUGGAUUAUUGUUAUGAAGCUGAAUGUUAUAUGCAGUGUCCUCCAUCACCUCAGAAUCUUGUUCUCUUUCGGUAGUACUUUGUUGACAGCUAUCUAGGUUUGCUGUGAAAUUUUGAUAAGGAGAAAAAAGUAAACAAGAAUAUAUGCGAUAGUUUAGGGAGCGCUAGUGAAAGAGAAAGCGAAAGAGGAUGAAAAAACAACUAGAGAGUGUGAAGAACGAAUGAAAAAACUUAAGUCACGACUUGAUUAGUUGUUGAUUAGCUACUAGUGAUCUUUGUGUGUUUCAAUUUAGCAUUGAUAUGUUCUCCAGAAAUGAGAAACACAUGAGAGUCGAUGUGACGGAGAGGGAGGAGAGCAGGAGACAGAGAGCCAGAAGGAAGUUUUGUGGAGAUAUAGAGAGAGUGAUAGUGGAGAGAAAAUCAAUGGAAAGAGGGGUUGGUGGGGUGGGAAGAGGGUGAUAGUGGAGAGUUGAGAGGAAACAAAGAAAUGCUAAGAUUUGGGCUUUAGAGUAUAAACUUGAUUUUGUUCUUUGAUUUAGGAACUUGCACCUGGAUAAGUCACCCAUUAAAAAAAAUGUUGAAAACCUUUAUUCCCCCUUAUAUACACCAUGUAGAAAAAUUUAAAAAUUCUUCUCGGGGAAACUAAAUCAGGCGUAAAAUACACUUGGCUAGCCAGAAGCAAAUAACGUUUACUAGGUUAAGAUUCAUUCAUAGUCUGGAGAGUGGAGAUUACUCUGAACUUAUUAGUUGUUUGAGGAUUUUCUAUAGUAACUACAUCAAAUUGGUAGAAACAAAUUUCGUUCAUGGAACAGUUUGAUGAUAGAUAUGUUGUUCUAUGGAUGUCUGAUAGCUUGAAGUUUUUUUACUUUGACCACAUGGUAGCUAUGCUAACUAGUUUGAUGUUAAACCUUAUUCGUUCAAUAUAGAUUUGAUUGGAUAAGGUUAGUGAUUGUGCUUGUCGAUGGGCCGUUUUUGGAUAUACUUUAUAUCGAAAAGACACUCAUUUUUAGUUGUAUAAUAUCAGACACAAACUUUGGGUGUUUCUCUUGUGGCUGAUUAGUUGGUUGAUGAUGUUUGAUGGAGUGGUCAAAGGGGUAUUAUUAUAGAGUAGGACUUUGAGUGAACCUAUGAUUGAGUGAUUUUGUGUGUCCUAAGUAAGGUAAUGGAAUGUAGAGGCACCGGGAAGAAUGGAGCAAAUGGAUUUAGGAGUCUUUGAUGUCUUCUUGUUCUUAAUCAUAGUGGAUGAGCAGUCUGUGAGGCAUUUGGGGCCACCUAUGUUACUUCGACACUUUGGUUGAGAGAGGUGUCGGUUGUCGGAUCCUCGGACACUUUGACACGACAUGACACCCAAAUAUAUAGUGGCCUUGUAUGAAACUUAUUACAUUUAGAGCGGGGAUCCUCCGAUCCCUUGUCGGACGCGACACCCCAAUAAGAGUCUGGGUAACAUAAGGGGCCACCCGGACUUCAGGAAGGGUUAUCGUUUUCUUCCUCUUGUACAUGUUAUCGUCAUCUGUUGAUCCUCUUGCUUUUUCCAAGGGGAAGUUGUGCUGAGCAUUAAAGGGCUCGGAGAGGUUCUUUCUCUCGUUUGCAAUUUGUUGAACUAUUAUUCUUUUCCUCCUUGAAUAUCUUUAGAUAUUAGAAUGUCCUUACUGUUCUAAGGUGUUUGAGAUUGUCUUUGGGCUUUAGGUUUUUUUAAGUAAGUCACUGUUUUUAGGGGUUAAUGUGGGAUAAUCCUUGGUAAUUUCUGUGUUCUUGAUCUGUGUUAUGUUUAGAGUUUGGCUCUGACUUAUCUUUGUCUCCUUGUAGGAAUGAGUCCCUGGAAAACCUCUUUCUGGGUACCGUUAUGGUGGAGGAAGGCAUAUUUUCCUUUGGGAGGACUGAGGAGGGUGUAGCAAAUUUUAUUGUUUGUCAAGCAUCUUUCUAGGCCUCUCCGUUGUUUUAUUAUAGGAUCCCUCUGGGUGUUGCUAAGAGUUUUGAAAGGGUUAUGAAUGACUUGUGAGAAACUUUCUUUUUUCUAGUAUAGGGGGAGAAUUAGAGAGAUCACCCCAUGGGGUGCAGGCGGGAUAAGGUUUUUGGUCUAAAGAGAUCGGUGGGCAGGGUCAAAUACAGGCUUGAUAUUCCAUGAAAGAGAUCGGUGGGCAUGUUGUUCAUUUCUUUGUUGGAUGUAAAGUUGGCAUUAGAUGACAAUGAAUUUAGACUGUUGGAGAAAUGCAACGAACGGCCUUUUAUGUUUCCUUUCCUUGUCCUAUCAUCUCUGAUCUCUUUACCUUACUAAUCUUUUGAUUUUUGUUUCUUGUUUAAAGAGGGUGUGUUCACUUCGUGGAAUUUUGAUAUUAGUUUAGAUUGGAAGUAGGGUGAAACACUUGUUGGAAAGCGUAACAGGGUGCUUCCUUCUUUAGUAUAUUGGGAUCAGAGAAGUUGGUUGUAGGAUUUUUUAUGCUUACCUGUUGUGUAUUUCUCAGUAUUUUAAUUAUUCCUUUUCCUUUCCUUUUCCUGCUAUCCAAUUACACAUGGAAAUCCAAGGUCCCUAAGAAAAUCAAGGCUAAAACAUGCUCGGAUAGGUUUCUGCUAAACUAAAGACCUGAUUGUUUGCAAUCAUGAGGACCAGAUGAUUUUUUGCAGACUCUCAUUGAGCAUUUGCAGGUUGAACAUGUUACUUCUCAGGAGAAUAACGGAAAUGUACUUCCAUGCCUUGUCACGAAAGGGGAGUCGGCGUGCCGUAAAGUGAUGAUUGAAGGAAGUAUAGAAAAGUUCCCUUCUGUGGUAGUCUGAAGGUGUAACUUAGGCAAUGAAAAAAGAGCCUGAUACUUCAACUAGAGGAGCGACCAGUUGGUUCACCAAACUCUGACCCAGUGCCGCACGUUCUCCAGGUCCGGAAGGAUCCAGUUCCCAACUACCGACUCCUCCCUGAUUUGUGUUAUCAUCACCGAGCCAGGAAUAGCCGCUGGACACCCUCCCCUUGUUAAUAAGUAAAUCAAUGCCUGCUUAAAGAGUCGAUCUUCCUGCAUUUCGAGUAUAUCGAGCGACGGAAUUGCUAAGUCCAGCGACGGGCCAUGGUCGUGCUAGACGAUGGGCAACAACAAGCCAUGAGCAACCCCAUAGCACAAAAGCAUCGCCCACACCAACUAGCAGCAACCAUAGCAGCUUUGCAGACCGAUGCGCCCGCGGUGGAUUGUUGCGCCCACACAAGAAAUCGGUGCACCCACACCGGAGACCGUUGCGCCUGCAUUGUCACCAUUCUUGCACCUGAAAACAUUCUGCCAUGGAGUCAUAAUUUGGAAAUGUCGUGUUAUGCGCCCGCGCCAGCCACCGGCUUCCCUUUUUAGUCGAGCAGCAGCAGCGAAUAGAAUAGCAGCAUCAGAGAGAGAUUAGAGCAGCAUUGAAUCGAUUUUGUCGUUGAUGUUUUCAAUUUUAGGAAUUACAUUCUCAAAUUUCAGAUUAUUUUCUCUUUUUGUCUAGUUUAUUUUGUUCUUAAGUUUCAGAUUAACGUUCUUCAUUUUCAGGCUUCCAAUUCAAUAUUAAUGGUAUAAUUUCUCUAUUUUAUUCUUUA
Spinacia oleracea (spinach) is the source of this 4598-nucleotide long non-coding RNA. RefSeq lists it as uncharacterized. The record is from RefSeq and is a predicted model, not a curated record. The transcript is spliced from 4 exons. Lineage: Eukaryota; Viridiplantae; Streptophyta; Magnoliopsida; Caryophyllales; Amaranthaceae.